CUGGGACAUGACAGUGAGUCAGGCUGGGUAUCUGUGUCCAUGGUGAUCCAGGUACGUUGAAGGAAAUGGACAGGCAAACUCAAAACUACAACCCAAUAAGAGAUAUGCCUGAAAUGCUGCAUAAGACACCUCCAAUAGGUCUCCCAAUACAGCUUUUAGGUGAGACCUCUGAGAUGGCUUCCUGGAGACAGGACUUACUAGCAGUGUGACCUUAGAGUAUAUCUUGGAAAGAUGAAGACUUGAAGAAGUUGGCACUCCCACUGUUCUGUCCACUGGGUGGAUGAUGGAGGAGAACACUUACACUGUCCCAGUACUGCACACUCCAGACUCAGUCUCAGCUUCACCAAGCUUACAGAUGGAUAAAACAAUCACACAAACAAGGACUGAAUGCACAAUUGAGAUGGAACACAGGCCCAUUCAGAGACUUGGAUCCCCGUUCCCACGUCUUUUGCAUGAGAAGGACACACAUACAUCAUAGAAGAAGGCAUGCGAGCAGGUCAUCUGUCUUGGGGGAGCUGAUCAGGAAAAGGAAA
Long non-coding RNA from Trichechus manatus latirostris (Florida manatee), 533 nucleotides. RefSeq lists it as uncharacterized. Lineage: Eukaryota; Metazoa; Chordata; Mammalia; Sirenia; Trichechidae. The transcript has 4 exons. The record is from RefSeq and is a predicted model, not a curated record.